GAUGAACGCUAGCUACAGGCUUAACACAUGCAAGUCGAGGGGAAACGAUAUUGGAAGCUUGCUUCUGAUAGGCGUCGACCGGCGCACGGGUGAGUAACGCGUAUCCAACCUGCCCAUCACUUGGGGAUAACCUUGUGAAAGUAAGACUAAUACCCAAUGACGUCUCUAGAAGACAUCUGAAAGAGAUUAAAGAUUUAUCGGUGAUGGAUGGGGAUGCGUCUGAUUAGCUUGUUGGCGGGGUAACGGCCCACCAAGGCGACGAUCAGUAGGGGUUCUGAGAGGAAGGUCCCCCACAUUGGAACUGAGACACGGUCCAAACUCCUACGGGAGGCAGCAGUGAGGAAUAUUGGUCAAUGGACGAGAGUCUGAACCAGCCAAGUAGCGUGCAGGAUGACGGCCCUAUGGGUUGUAAACUGCUUUUAUAAGGGAAUAAAGUGAGUCUCGUGAGACUUUUUGCAUGUACCUUAUGAAUAAGGACCGGCUAAUUCCGUGCCAG
RNAcentral lists this ribosomal RNA (496 nucleotides) under uncultured bacterium. RNAcentral describes it as "bacterial SSU rRNA". It matches the Rfam family "Bacterial small subunit ribosomal RNA", at positions 28 to 511 of the family's 1533-position model. The record is from RNAcentral.